GCUUGUGGCUGCACCUACAUAUCCUAAUCCUAUUAUGAGUGUGCCCAAUUCGGCGUUAACGCCGAAUCACUUUGUCACACCACCCAUAGGAGCAAGCAUGUUUGGUCUUCCGCCGAAUUAUGGUUCGGCGCCCAUCCCACAAGUUGCACCAAUAGCUAGUACUCAGGUUGCUCCUAUGUCAUUGCCACAAACAUCUUCAUCUACCUCGGAUCCAAUUUUAGCUAAAUUAAGGGAGGAUUUGCAUAAGAUGUUUCUAGAAACUUUGGGAAACGAGCCGAAAGUAAAUAGUCGUGUGUAUCAAAAGCCUUAUUCUGAACACUUCGAUGCAAUUUCUUACCAGUAAAUAAUUAUUGGCAAACUCAGCUCAUAGAAACAAGCAAUUCAACCAUUCUGUGGGUAAACCAAAAGCACCACUGGAAAUUUUUCACUACUCCAAUCAUACACGCAAAAAGGGGCGACGCCACCGUAGGGGCUGGUAUGGGCGGCCGCCUCGGGUGGCUAGAAAUUUGAGUCGCCCAGGUUGGCCUAGACUAGUUUUGUUCGUCCCAACGCACGAGCAGGCAAUGUAAAAAAUGAAGAAAAAUGUUUCAAUUUGGAUGGGCCAAUAACGUAAGUGCAAGGCAUGCCCUAUAGCCGGCUCGCGGUCCAAAUGAGCACCUCCCAUAUCGAUCGACAGCAGGAAAAAUCCCAAUUCGUUCGCUCCAGCCUCCAGUAUGGUUCACUCCUAACCUAGCCGCUGCUGGACAGACCGACACAGCACUUCCUCGCGCCCUCGUUGGACGCGCCGAUCGCCGGGCCUCAAGCGAAUGGAAGGACAAGAAGAUGAAGAUCCAACCCUGGGUGUAGCAUGCGUGGGAGGCAGCGACAACAUCACGGGCAUGGCAUCGAGCUUGCGCAAACGGACAGUCGCAGCUUGCAAGAGCAGCAUGCGGAACGAGCAGGUACAUCACAUCCCUGAUUAUAUCUAAUUCAGCUAUUCAAUUUCUGGCCAAUAGUUAAACCUGUUGUUGUAAAACUGCUUGUAUGUAGGGAAUCUAUGGGAAAAUGAAACCAAUUUCUGCUUAUUUUAUAACUCCCCCAAUCAAUACUGAACUGACUGAACCUGAUAUAUCUAAUCAAGUUUCCGGUGCAAACAUACAAGCUCAUGUUGUUCUUGAGCAUGAAGUGUCUAAUGGACAGAAUGCUAAUGAAAGAUUUGAUGCAAACAUUUUACAUGCUACUGGUGAUGAACAUGUAGUGUCUAAUGAUGGAUCUAAUGCAAGAAUUUUGCAAGCUCCCAUUGAAGGAUUUAGUGUCUAAUGAUGAUCUGCUGUGUUGCUAGAGACAUAGAGAUUUGCAGGCAUUGAUGACAAGCAAAUUAUAGUACAUUUUCAUAGCUUGAGGAAACAUCGAGGCCAUCUGCCAGAAAGUGCCCGUAUCAAAACAACGUAGCAUUAAAUACUUUUCUAGUAUGUUGUUUGAAACUAUUGGCAUAGAUAGAUAUACUGAUAUGCAGUUUGCGCACUGGUUAUAGGUGCAAUUACACUUCGAUAUUUUCAGCCAGAGAACGAAUAAUUCAAGCAGGUACAAACCAUGUUAGUAGUUCUUGUACACCAUGUUGCAUUUUGUGUUUUUUGGUGCUUACAUCAUUUAUUGUUUUAUAAUCUGGAACUACUUUGGAUCAGAAGCUGGUUUUCGAAGUGCAUGUAGCUUCACAUUUCUUCAGGGACGAAGCUCACGUACAAGGACUGGUGUCAAAUGACACCAAUGCCGAUCGUAACCUCAAACUAAUCUUGUCAAAAAGAUUUGUCCCAGCCAAAAAACACGAUUGACCCCAGCCCAGCCACCUGUCCGUAUAGAAGCAAAAAGGCUCAGCCUAGUUCCAGCCCAGCCAUAGAAGCCCAAAGUCACUAAAAAUUAUGUGGUCAUUCCACAAAAUUCCACAUGUCGCCGCACACACAGCCAUAAAUACCCAUGAGCCUGAAUACCCAUUAUGUAAUACUUGCACACGGCCCAAAAGCAGUCGUUCCUAAUUUUCUUCUUUUGUAUAGAGUUGUUCUUAAUUUCUAAUUUCUUAUAUGCUGAUGUAUGCGUGAGUCUACAUCUCUUCGUCCCAUCGCCUCCUCUCAAUCCCUAAUUCCCAAAUCCCCCAUAUCCAUAUGAAAAUUCCAUGCUGGUCUCUGGUGGAAUUCCAGAGAGACGAGCCGCCAAAUCAGCGGGAUUUUGGUCUAAUCUGUUGCACGAUUGUGCGGCAUAACCUGGUGCCAAUCCACCAAGCCUAGAUCGGUUCUUCUCAGGUAUGCCUCGUGACGCACAUGUGUAUUAGAUUUAGUCUUUAGACUAAAUUUCGCUACCGAACUAAUUUGAAAAUUUUGCUGUUCUCUUCCUUGAUUCAUGUACAACUAGGAGGUUAUGGACAUAUUUUUGUUAAAACGGCCACUACCAUCAGAUGCAGCAGGGACUUCAAGGCCACUUAGACUUAGGCAAGAUAAUGGUCAUAUAUCAAGUGUUUGUAUUAUUACUCCAGCUAAAAUAAAUUUAGAUGAUCUUCCUCCCGAUCCAGCUGAUUGAAAAAGAAUAUCAUAGUACGCGAAGAAUCAUAAGAAGCAAGACGAGAUUAGAUGGAGAUAUUUAACUAGAUGACUUUACAUGCCACAAGAAGUCUUUAAAUAUCCGCACAAGACAAUAGUAGGAUUUGAACAAAAAAAUAAUCUAGAAUGGUUUAAAGACUAUCAUUGCCUAGAGUGGUAAUGUGCAUAAGGCAUUUUGUUUGUGUUGCUAUCUAUUCAUACUUUCAUAGAUUGCAUCGACGACCAAGGUGGUAAUGAUGCAUUUGUUGUUAAUGGUUUCUCUAAUUGGAAUAAGAAAAGCAGACUAGAUAAUCAUGUGGGUGAGGAGUUCAUGAGUGAUUGCCUGAUUUUGUACGUGAUGAAGGAUAUAUUUUCUAGAAUUACGAAUGAUAUUGUGAUGGAUCUAUUUAAGAAGAUGAAAGAUCGAGAAGAAAAGUUAUAAAAUGUGAGCCCCGUGUCACUUCAUAUUUUGCUUAAUGAUGUUUAUUUUCUGUAUUACUUGUUUUGUACCAUUGUUGUAAAUAUAAUAUGUUCUGUCGUUCAUUCUUUUCAGGAAGAAACAACUAAAAUUCUUGAAGUCACCAUUUUGCUUAUUAUUUUCUGACUAUGUCAAGAAGUGGCUAUACGACUUCACUCAGCGCGUGCUUGGUAUGACAAUUUUUUAUGUAAUGAUAAUAUUGUUGGAUCAUCGCAUGUUUUUGCUCUUUGUCCGCUCUCUAACAUUAUGUGUGCUGCACCGCUAUAGUUUGUGCUAGAGUGGGCAGAGCUUGACACCAGUGCCCAUUUUUUCUAGCUUCGUCCCUGCAUUUCUCAAGUUAUGUUGAUUUCUGGAGUGCAAGUGCCUUCGUAUAUUUUAAAUUAAAUUUUCGCCUUGGUAACUUGAAUUCGUGGAUCCGCCACUGCACACAAAUCAUACACACAUGCCAGUAGGAAUUAAAUGGAAUGCAGGGACUUACGCUAGCUCGUUGUAUUGGCUCACUGCAGCUCUGCUUGCGCUUGGGAUGUUCCAUGUACAAGUCCAUGUUACCACUUGCUUGGAUGUGUAGGCCUUAUGCUCCUUGCAUCCCCCUCUACAUUUUUGACAUAGUGAAUGGUUGAUCAAAUAAGAG
RNAcentral lists this long non-coding RNA (3658 nucleotides) under Triticum aestivum (bread wheat). Its description in RNAcentral is "long non-coding RNA (TAES_LNC006925)". The record is from RNAcentral. Lineage: Eukaryota; Viridiplantae; Streptophyta; Magnoliopsida; Poales; Poaceae.